UACGUAGGGGGCGAGCGUUGUCCGGAAUCAUUGGGCGUAAAGCGCGUGUAGGCGGUUCGGUAAGUCUGCUGUGAAAGUCCAGGGCUCAACCCUGGGAUGCCGGUGGAUACUGCCGAACUAGAGUGCGGAAGAGGCGAGUGGAAUUCCCGGUGUAGCGGUGAAAUGCGCAGAUAUCGGGAGGAACACCAAUUGCGAAGGCAGCUCACUACCCAGAUAUUGACACUGAGGCACGAAAGCGUGGGGAUCAAACAGG
Molecule: ribosomal RNA, 253 nt
Filed under: uncultured bacterium
Lineage: Bacteria
Description: partial 16S ribosomal RNA
Rfam family: Bacterial small subunit ribosomal RNA
Source: RNAcentral